This is a long non-coding RNA of Amblyraja radiata (thorny skate), 85 nucleotides long. RefSeq lists it as uncharacterized. The transcript has 3 exons. The record is from RefSeq and is a predicted model, not a curated record. Lineage: Eukaryota; Metazoa; Chordata; Chondrichthyes; Rajiformes; Rajidae.
AACAUUUGGAUAGGAAUGGUUUAGAGGGAUAUGGGCCAAUCGCAGGCAGGUGGGACUAUUGUGGCUCACUAUUUAAUGCAUUUUA